This 459-nucleotide unclassified non-coding RNA is filed under the name Bifidobacterium adolescentis. RNAcentral describes it as "partial 16S-23S ribosomal RNA". Lineage: Bacteria; Bacillati; Actinomycetota; Actinomycetes; Bifidobacteriales; Bifidobacteriaceae. The record is from RNAcentral.
CCUUUCUACGGAGAAUUCAGUCCAAUGUUUUUUGGACAGUGUGUGCCACACGAUGGCGUGACAGUCAUGCCUUAUAGUGUGGAUGCUGGUGUGGAAGAGAUCAAUGGCUUGGAUGGGAUUCGUCCCGUCCGGGAGUGGUAUGGGUAUGCUUUUGGGCUCCCGGACCGCCACCCCACAACGUCUGUUGUGGUGCGGUUCGAUGCCCAUGCGUGGUGGCCGGUCCUGGGUGGCUGGUCGGAUCGUGUGGCGCGUGGUGGUUUGAGAACUGGAUAGUGGACGCGAGCAAGAGAAACUGAAAGAACGUUUCUUUUUGCUUAUCGCGAUUUCGCCAAACUCUUCAAUUGAGUUUGGUUUCGAGAUCGAUCGUUUUGUGAUCAUUUUAGUGUUAAGAUUUGUCGUCUGGCGAUCUUGCUAUCAGGAAACCCGCGGGUGGGGCAAUGACAAUUUGUUUUGCUGUUG